Molecule: long non-coding RNA, 3286 nt
Organism: Daphnia pulicaria
Lineage: Eukaryota; Metazoa; Arthropoda; Branchiopoda; Diplostraca; Daphniidae
Exons: 10
Source: RefSeq, a predicted model, not a curated record
UUUCAUUCUGAAUUCAUUUUUCUUUUGUUUCAUACCAUUUAGCUAGCAUGCCGUUUAGUCUCAAUAAAUCAACGUUGCCAAUCAAAGCGUUAUUCAAUUAUUUCGUUUGAUUACAUGUCAGCACAUGUCAUUGAGUCAUUGUCUGUGCAGGUCUGUGUGUGAAGCCUGUUUAAAGUAGGCUAUAACAACUUUCAAACCAUCAGCCAUUCAGAUUUUCUUCAAUGGAAGACAGUAUAGAACAAAUUUUAAAGAGGAUCAAAGAAAAAGAGGAAAUUUUACGAAAGCAGAAAAUGGUCAAAUUGCACAGAGCAAAGCACAAUACCACUGAACUUGAAAACUUGAUUAAAGAAUGGCUGGGAGUGUGCCAACAAACUCUUCAAGAUCUGGAACAGAAAUUGAAAGAUCAGUCGUCUGAUUCUGCAGAUUUCGGCAUUGCAAAAAUUCUUGCACAUUUGAACAUAGAGCCUGAGCUGGUUGGUUACAGUAUUGAAGACGAAAUGUUUACCAACUGAAGAUGUAUUCACUGUGUAUAUCCGUUUCAAGAGUUGUGUUCUGAUGACAUCUUCAAAAUGCAAUUAAAAUUUUAAUGAGGAGCUGCUAGGUAUAGGUUUGUUUUUCAUGAAAAAGUAAAGCUUGAAUUUUAUUUUAACAUGGAACCAUACUGUACAGAGUAGAUCAGUUGAGUUGAAACUGUAGUGGUAGUAAGAAAUGUCAACAAGAUGAAUGUUCUUCUCCGGGUAUGAUUAACGAGCAUGGAAUCGUUGCGUACGCACUUUUACAGACGCUUGCUUCACAAUAGAUAGUACUACGUAAAAAAUGUGUACCGCCAAAGGAACAAACGACACGUGCAAAGUACAUCCUUGCGACUAGAUGUUCAUGUUUUCGAGUCUUGAAAGGACAGAGAUAAAUGUUCAUCCGAAUAUCUCUCCAAGCAGAACCUGCAGUCUAGCACGUAACGGGAUUAGUCUCAACAUUGAUCCCCCUGCACCCUGUCACAAGUGAAUCCGAAAAACGUCCACUGCCGAAACAACACACACGUGAACCAUUUGGGUGGAUCAGUUUGCACAUGGAGAAACGAGGCGUGAUGAGUAGGAGGGAAUCGAGCGAAGCUAAAAAUUCAUUUGUUGCUGGUUGACAGUUUUACGACCGGCUUCCACACCUACUUCAUUAGCGCUGCUCGACUCGGUUCCCUCCAACUCGUCUCACCAUCAAAACACAACAAACACGGAUCUCUAUAUAUCUGCCACGAGGAUAUUCUGAUGCCUUGAUCAACAUCUCGCCUAGCUAGUCUCUCUCUUCACCUUUUGGCGUAUUAUGACUAGCGACUGCGUCAGCUUCUACGGAUCCACCCAGUUAAAUGAUGAAUUAGAGAGAAAAACAGCAGUUGCCGGCUACUUGUUGUACGGUCGCAAAGUGGAGCUGAAAGCCGCGCAGGAAAAAAGAAAGAAAGAACCUUAUGAUAUUACAUAUCUCUUUCACGAGCUUUUGACAGCACAGCUCUCGCUCCACACUAUUGAAAACAACAGCAAAAAUCGCUCCUGUAUUUAUGUUGCUUUUCUCCGACGACAUUUCCCCCGUUGGAAGGUUCAAAAAAUGGAAGGAAAAAAUAUUUUGAUUGUUUUUAUUAUUAUUUUCAUUUGCUCGCGCGGCAAUUUAUUGGCAUGGUGGUUGGAACGUCUUCUGGCUGGCUGAGAACGUGCCUUGCGUCGUGUCGGCCCGAGUUUAAAAAUAUCGCUCGUGUUUGACGGGUCAAAGAAAAAGAGAGGAAAUGGAAGGCAACAGCUGCCGAGCUGCGCGACAAGUUGCCGACGAAGUGAAGGGAUCCUCGGCGGGACCCGAAACUCGCGAGGAUUAGACACGAAAAAAACCUAUUUCCAGCUCUAUGUAGGCAACCGUAUAUAAUGUCCGUUGGGGCUUUCCAACUUGAUCCACUUGGACAAGUGGAAUGUCUUAAGUAAUAGUCGUUUCGUUAUAGCGUAAGCCAGCGGGGGCUGCCUACUUCUUCUUUUUUUAAUUUUACUGGUCCUGUGUAUGCGCAACGGAAAAGAAAAACAGGAAAAAAAACGGGGGAUUUUUUGUUGUUGAGCGUGACAAAUUUGUGUAUUGAUAACAACAUAGCAUAGUUCACCGAAAUCAUGGAGAAAAAAGUUCUAUUGUUUUAAGUAGGAUAAAUAUGUACAACAGUUUGAGGGGGUUAGUAAACAACUCGUGCGUUUCGAUCUAGAGAAUGAGUUUCAUUUUCAAAAUAUUUUCCAAUUGAUAAAAAAAUUUUCUUUUUCUUAGGAGAGAGAGAGAAUAUACUAUAUUUCAAUCAUCAGACUGUGCCGGUGUUGGUUGGAGCUGUGGUCGUGGUGCAAGUCGUGGCCAAACUCUCGACGAUGAAGCUGAGCCGGUCGAGACUGGACGAUCCCGGAGCGGAUCCUUGCCCUCCACCAGAUCCUUCAUUACCUGUUGGUGAUGCCAAAGAAAGAAAUUAGUUUGAUCAAUUUUUGUUUUGAAAAUUUUUUAAAAUUGGUGCUUGAAAUUGAAUAAACAUGAAUCAGAUUAUCCGACAAUGCCGCUUUUAAUAUCGACUGCUAUAAUUUUCGUUCGAAAAAUGUCCUCGUGAUAUGUGAAAUUUAAAGUUUAAAAAAUGUAUCUAGGCAAAGCUAAAACCCUAUUUUAAAAUAAUAAUAAUAAUAGUUUGGAUUGCUUGUAUAAUUUGACGUUAUUCUUUCCCUACGAUGUUCAUUUCUACCACCACGAGUUAAGAAGGUGAUCCAGAUUCAUAGGCGAAAAGGAAGAGCUGGUGGUGAGCAAUCGAUACCCUCUCGUGGUGGUAGUAAAAAAGGAAAAAAGGGAAGAAGAAUGACAUUUUUAAGACAAAUUAGUUGAGACGUGGGAGCGCACAUUGGAGAUGGGAAGGCUCUUGGAGUGAUUCCUCCUCCCUUGGUGGGAGGGAUCAUAAACGACUUCAUUAGCCCUCACUGGAACCAGCGAAGCAAUCGAAACGGACUGUCUUAAUAUAAUGGACGUGAGGAGAGACGUGAAGAAGCGCCGUGUUUUGGCUGGGCAACUGCUGACGGCGGCGACGACGGACAAGCGCGAGAGAGGUGCUCCCCGAUAUUGGAAAACGUAGGAGGACAUUUUCUCUCGAUACUCGUCAACACGGCAGUCAAUCUGUUGUCUGCCCAACGUCCAAAUGGCCGCCGCGUCGACAAGUUGGUCAGACAUUCGCUGAACUGAUGAAGUCGAGUCUGGUAGUAGGCCACAACGUUCGUCAUCUGCGCCAAUAGAAUAAAGAAGA